Long non-coding RNA from Prionailurus viverrinus (fishing cat), 708 nucleotides. RefSeq lists it as uncharacterized. The transcript has 3 exons. The record is from RefSeq and is a predicted model, not a curated record. NCBI's taxonomy places the organism in Eukaryota, Metazoa, Chordata, Mammalia, Carnivora, Felidae.
CACACACACCCAACUUCGCUCGCAAGGGCAGCCGGAAAGUGGCCCAUUCUGAUCUCCAAGCUGGUCACAGUCUCGGCCCUCUCCCCUCUCCGUGCCCUGACGCCCCAUCACCCUUCAGCUUUCUCCUUCGCCUCCCUUCUUUCAUGAGCGCAGACCCCAUGCUCUCACCCUAAGACCUCGCUGGCUGCAGUGCUGUCUACUCUCCUUCGCUUCCUGCCAGCGUUCUGCUGGAAGCUGUCACCGGGCCCUACGUCUGGAGCCUUCACUCCUAGAGAAGCACUGCUCUUUGCCCAUCCCGAUGGGCUUCAAGACCUCUCUCUAGACGCGCCCAACGCCAGAGACCCCAACUCAGAGAAGGAAAGAUCCGACCCAGGAGAGGGUGACAGCAGAGACUGCAUCCAGUGCGGCCAAAGGGAAAGGAAAGAUCUGGUGCCUGGAGCCCCACUAUGGACCCAGAAGCCAGAUGCCCUGCUAUAAGAAGCCCACGCCACAUGGAGAAGCCACAUGGAGAUGUUCCAGGUGCAACUUCAGCUGAGUUUCUAAGCCGAGAGCCAACAGAGCCUGAGCCUUCUGCAUCUUCCAUCUGGCACACAGAGAAGUGACUUACAGCAAUAAAUACCAAGAAGAAAGAAGCCCUUCAUGAAUAAAAGAGGAGUGAGACUGCCAUGAAGCACACAACUCGCCUUCCUACAAAGCAAAUAAAUAAAG